Molecule: ribosomal RNA, 468 nt
Filed under: uncultured bacterium
Lineage: Bacteria
Description: partial 16S ribosomal RNA
Rfam family: Bacterial small subunit ribosomal RNA
Source: RNAcentral
GACGAACGCUGGCGGCGUGCUUAACACAUGCAAGUCGAACGGUAAGGCCCUGCUUUUGUGGGGUGCUCGAGUGGCGAACGGGUGAGUAACACGUGAGUAACCUGCCCUUGACUUUGGGAUAACUUCAGGAAACUGGGGCUAAUACCGGAUAGGAGCUCCUGCUGCAUGGUGGGGGUUGGAAAGUUUCGGCGGUUGGGGAUGGACUCGCGGCUUAUCAGCUUGUUGGUGGGGUAGUGGCUUACCAAGGCUUUGACGGGUAGCCGGCCUGAGAGGGUGACCGGCCACAUUGGGACUGAGGUAGGGCCCAGACUCCUACGGGAGGCAGCAGUGGGGAAUAUUGCACAAUGGGCGGAAGCCUGAUGCAGCAACGCCGCGUGCGGGAUGACGGCCUUCGGGUUGUAAACCGCUUUCGCCUGUGACGAAGCGUGAGUGACGGUAAUGGGUAAAGAAGCACCGGCUAACUACGUG